RNAcentral lists this ribosomal RNA (372 nucleotides) under uncultured bacterium. RNAcentral's name for it is "bacterial SSU rRNA". It matches the Rfam family "Bacterial small subunit ribosomal RNA", at positions 523 to 898 of the family's 1533-position model. The record is from RNAcentral.
AUACGUAGGGGGCGAGCGUUGUCCGGAUUUAUUGGGCGUAAAGGGUGCGUAGGCGGUCUUGUAAGUUAGAUGUGAAAUCUCACGGCUUAACCGUGGUAAGCAUUUGAAACUGCAGGGCUAGAGUACAGGAGAGGAGAGUGGAAUUCCUAGUGUAGCGGUGAAAUGCGUAGAUAUUAGGAGGAAUACCAGUGGCGAAGGCGGCUCUCUGGACUGUAACUGACGCUGAGGCACGAAAGCGUGGGGAGCAAGCAGGAUUAGAUACCCUGGUAGUCCACGCUGUAAACGAUGAGUGCUAGGUGUCGGGGGUCAAACCUCGGUGCCGCAGUUAACACAUUAAGCACUCCGCCUGGGGAGUACGGUGGCAACACUGAA